This 500-nucleotide ribosomal RNA is filed under the name uncultured bacterium. RNAcentral's name for it is "partial 16S ribosomal RNA". It matches the Rfam family "Bacterial small subunit ribosomal RNA", at positions 30 to 523 of the family's 1533-position model. The record is from RNAcentral.
AUUGAACGCUGGCGGAAUGCUUUACACAUGCAAGUCGAACGGCAGCACGGACUUCGGUCUGGUGGCGAGUGGCGAACGGGUGAGUAAUGUAUCGGAACGUGCCCAGUCGUGGGGGAUAACAUAGUGAAAAUUACGCUAAUACCGCAUACGAUCUAUGGAUGAAAGCGGGGGAUCGCAAGACCUCGCGCGAUUGGAGCGGCCGAUAUCAGAUUAGGUAGUUGGUGGGGGAAAGGCCCACCAAGCCAACGAUCUGUAGCUGGUCUGAGAGGACGACCAGCCACACUGGAACUGAGACACGGUCCAGACUCCUACGGGAGGCAGCAGUGGGGAAUUUUGGACAAUGGGCGAAAGCCUGAUCCAGCCAUUCCGCGUGCAGGAUGAAGGCCCUCGGGUUGUAAACUGCUUUUGUACAGAACGAAAAGGUCUCUACUAAUACUAGGAGCUCAUGACGGUACUGUAAGAAUAAGCACCGGCUAACUACGUGCCAGCCGCCGCCGUAA